RNAcentral lists this ribosomal RNA (215 nucleotides) under uncultured bacterium. Its description in RNAcentral is "partial 16S ribosomal RNA". It matches the Rfam family "Bacterial small subunit ribosomal RNA", at positions 1287 to 1500 of the family's 1533-position model. The record is from RNAcentral.
CCCAGUUCGGAUUGUAGUCUGCAACCCGACUACAUGAAGCUGGAAUCGCUAGUAAUCGCAGGUCAGCAUACUGCGGUGAAUACGUUCCCGGGCCUUGUACACACCGCCCGUCACACCAUGAGAGUCGGGAACACCCGAAGUCCGUAGCCUAACCGCGAAGGGGGGCGCGGCCGAAGGUGGGUUCGAUAAUUGGGGUGAAGUCGUAACAAGGUACC